GGCAUAAGCCAGCUUGACUGCGAGAGUGACGGCUCGAGCAGGUGCGAAAGCAGGUCUUAGUGAUCCGGUGGUUCUGAAUGGAAGGGCCAUCGCUCAACGGAUAAAAGGUACUCCGGGGAUAACAGGCUGAUACCGCCCAAGAGUUCAUAUCGACGGCGGUGUUUGGCACCUCGAUGUCGGCUCAUCACAUCCUGGGGCUGAAGUAGGUCCCAAGGGUAUGGCUGUUCGCCAUUUAAAGUGGUACGCGAGCUGGGUUUAGAACGUCGUGAGACAGUUCGGUCCCUAUCUGCCGUGGGCGCUGGAGAAUUGAGGGGGGCUGCUCCUAGUACGAGAGGACCGGAGUGGACGCAUCACUGGUGUUCGGGUUGUCAUGCCAAUGGCACUGCCCGGUAGCUAAAUGCGGAAGAGAUAAGUGCUGAAAGCAUCUAAGCACGAAACUUGCCCCGAGAUGAGUUCUCCCUGAGACUUAGAGUCUCCUGAAGGAACGUUGAAGACGACGACGUUGAUAGGCCGGGUGUGUAAGCGCAGCGAUGCGUUGAGCUAACCGGUACUAAUGAACCGUGAGGCUUAACCUUACAACGCCGAAG
This 587-nucleotide ribosomal RNA is filed under the name Salmonella enterica. Its description in RNAcentral is "partial 23S ribosomal RNA". It matches the Rfam family "Bacterial large subunit ribosomal RNA", at positions 2356 to 2925 of the family's 2925-position model. Lineage: Bacteria; Pseudomonadati; Pseudomonadota; Gammaproteobacteria; Enterobacterales; Enterobacteriaceae. The record is from RNAcentral. RNAcentral also lists the same sequence under 1 other name.